RNAcentral lists this ribosomal RNA (490 nucleotides) under uncultured bacterium. Its description in RNAcentral is "partial 16S ribosomal RNA". It matches the Rfam family "Bacterial small subunit ribosomal RNA", at positions 30 to 507 of the family's 1533-position model. The record is from RNAcentral.
AUUGAACGCUGGCGGCAGGCCUAACACAUGCAAGUCGAACGGUAACAGGAAGCAGCUUGCUGCUUUGUUGACGAGUGGCGGACGGGUGAGUAAUGUCUGGGAAACUGCCUGAUGGAGGGGGAUAACUACUGGAAACGGUAGCUAAUACCGCAUAACGUCGCAAGACCAAAGAGGGGGACCUUCGGGCCUCUUGCCAUCGGAUGUGCCCAGAUGGGAUUAGCUAGUAGGUGGGGUAACGGCUCACCUAGGCGACGAUCCCUAGCUGGUCUGAGAGGAUGACCAGCCACACUGGAACUGAGACACGGUCCAGACUCCUACGGGAGGCAGCAGUGGGGAAUAUUGCACAAUGGGCGCAAGCCUGAUGCAGCCAUGCCGCGUGUAUGAAGAAGGCCUUCGGGUUGUAAAGUACUUUCAGCGGGGAGGAAGGGAGUAAAGUUAAUACCUUUGCUCAUUGACGUUACCCGCAGAAGAAGCACCGGCUAACUCCGUG